RNAcentral lists this ribosomal RNA (497 nucleotides) under uncultured bacterium. Its description in RNAcentral is "partial 16S ribosomal RNA". It matches the Rfam family "Bacterial small subunit ribosomal RNA", at positions 28 to 507 of the family's 1533-position model. The record is from RNAcentral.
GAUGAACGCUGGCGGCGUGCCUAAUACAUGCAAGUCGAGCGAACAGACGAGGAGCUUGCUCCUCUGACGUUAGCGGCGGACGGGCGAGUAACACGUGGAUAACCUACCUAUAAGACUGGGAUAACUUCGGGAAACCGGAGCUAAUACCGGAUAAUAUAUUGAACCGCAUGGUUCAAUAGUGAAAGACGGUUUUGCUGUCACUUAUAGAUGGAUCCGCGCCGCAUUAGCUAGUUGGUAAGGUAACGGCUUACCAAGGCAACGAUGCGUAGCCGACCUGAGAGGGUGAUCGGCCACACGGGAACUGAGACACGGUCCAGACUCCUACGGGAGGCAGCAGUAGGGAAUCUUCCGCAAUGGGCGAAAGCCUGACGGAGCAACGCCGCGUGAGUGAUGAAGGUCUUCGGAUCGUAAAACUCUGUUAUUAGGGAAGAACAAAUGUGUAAGUAACUAUGCACGUCUUGACGGUACCUAAUCAGAAAGCCACGGCUAACUACGUG